Macrobrachium nipponense is the source of this 1156-nucleotide long non-coding RNA. RefSeq lists it as uncharacterized. Lineage: Eukaryota; Metazoa; Arthropoda; Malacostraca; Decapoda; Palaemonidae. The record is from RefSeq and is a predicted model, not a curated record. The transcript has 3 exons.
CAGCCACCAAUCGCAGAAGCUACGUCACCUCUUUGCCCUUGAACGUGGUGAGGCGCUUAGUGUGUGAGAAAGUGAGACCACUCCAUUCCAGAGCCGUAUAUAGCUACGGCUCUGUGACUGUCUUCCUCAGUGCAGCCACGAACAUCAGAAGAUUCUUUCAAUUGAGAAGAAGCGUCUGGACAUUAUUCCUCUUCUCCACUAAGGUCCUUCCCAGUUGCUCAUCGAACAUAAUGAGGUUCCUUCAAGUAAGCCUCGUGGCUCUGCUUUCCCUUGUCCUACUGGAAGAAGAUGUUGCUGGAGGUGCAAUCACAGCUCGCCUCAAACAUCAAUCUGGCGCUGGGGAGCCGUUACUAAGAGUAAGCUCGGACCCGCCACCCCUACCAGGACCUGAAUCUGAUCAAAUAUCAAUCGUUCCCGAAGCGGCCUUCAAUGAAGGGUCCCACGGCUGCAUAGGCGUUUGUCAGCUUAGGGACAACUUCGACUCCUGCCUGCCAGAUUCAAAGUGUUGUGAGGAGAAGUUCAAAGAUAGCGAGUACUUGGACUGCGUGAGAGGCAACAAAUAAUGCAAAGCAAUCCAUUUCCUGUUAUUGUCUCUGGCUCUGUUCAAGAGAGAUCAGCUGGUAGUGUUGUACCUUACUUUCUUACUUAAUCUUUCACUUUUUGUUAGGAUUGGCCAAUAUGACCAACUGCCAUUGCACUAUAGGCUACUAAGGUACCAUGUUGCCUUCUCGUGACUUCCUAUUUGACACAUGACAAGACUAAGGCCACUUUCAACUUCCCUUUCUCAUCCAGAAUUGGUAUGUUUAAGUGAGUAGCCUAUACUUUUUUUUAUCUGUUCAUCCGUUUGUGGUGGUUGCGCAUGGUAACACUGCGUGCCGGGCUUUAAAUAGUUACGCUGUCUAAGUUUUAGGUAAAUAAAGGAUAUCUGGGUGUACAUUUGCAACUGAAAAGUGUUUUAAUAAUUUACUGUAUGCGAAUUACACCAAUUAAUAUUCGAAUUAGGAUAUUAUUUAAAGCCCGGGACGCAGUGUUACCAUGCACAAACACCCCAGGCGGAUGGACAAAUGGAAAAAAAAACAGAGAAUACAUACUCAAGGCAAAAUCCUACCAAAUCGUACACAAAGGUUGAUGCUGGGAAGGUGAUUCAGUCUCUUAU